Small nuclear RNA from Mustela erminea (ermine), 104 nucleotides. NCBI's taxonomy places the organism in Eukaryota, Metazoa, Chordata, Mammalia, Carnivora, Mustelidae. The record is from RefSeq and is a predicted model, not a curated record.
GUGCUCGCUUUGGCGGCACAUAUAAUAAAAUUGGAACGAUACAGAGAUUAGCAUGGCCCCUGUGCAAGGAUGACACACAAAUUCAUGAAGCGUUCCAUAUUUAA